This 166-nucleotide small nuclear RNA is filed under the name Pogona vitticeps (central bearded dragon). Its description in RNAcentral is "U1 spliceosomal RNA (ENSPVIG00000001969.1)". It matches the Rfam family "U1 spliceosomal RNA". From Rfam's summary of the family: U1 is a small nuclear RNA (snRNA) component of the spliceosome (involved in pre-mRNA splicing). Lineage: Eukaryota; Metazoa; Chordata; Lepidosauria; Squamata; Agamidae. The record is from Rfam by way of RNAcentral.
ACUCAUACCUUGCAGGGGAAAUACCAUGUCAUAAAAGUGGUUUUUCCAGGGGGAGGCUCAUCCAUUGCACUUUGGGUAUGCUGCUGAUCCCUGUGAUUUCCCCAAAUGUAGGGCACUCAACUGCAUAAUUUGUGUUAAUGGGUUGUUUUUCCAGGAGGCAGACCCU